GAAUAAUGAUGAGAAAAAUAUUUGCUAUCUGAUGUAAAUUGAUGGAUAAAAAUUCUACCACCUAGAUCUCUGAAUUC
Small nucleolar RNA from Mytilus californianus (California mussel), 77 nucleotides. RefSeq annotates it as small nucleolar RNA SNORD24. The record is from RefSeq and is a predicted model, not a curated record. NCBI's taxonomy places the organism in Eukaryota, Metazoa, Mollusca, Bivalvia, Mytilida, Mytilidae. The transcript has a single exon.